ACUGAUGUGGCAGAACAGUGCCUCGAACUUAAGCCUCGAAUACGAGAGACCUCUCUCCCUCAGUA
Molecule: transfer RNA, 65 nt
Filed under: Sipunculus nudus (marine worm)
Lineage: Eukaryota; Metazoa; Annelida; Sipuncula; Golfingiida; Sipunculidae
Description: tRNA-Leu
Source: RNAcentral